Long non-coding RNA from Callorhinchus milii (elephant shark), 385 nucleotides. RefSeq lists it as uncharacterized. The transcript is spliced from 3 exons. The record is from RefSeq and is a predicted model, not a curated record. NCBI's taxonomy places the organism in Eukaryota, Metazoa, Chordata, Chondrichthyes, Chimaeriformes, Callorhinchidae.
ACGUUAGCAGCAGCCUGAGGGGCAAAACACAAAGAUCUUAGUGGACUUUAAAUUGUGACUAUCAAACCUUGGAAAUAAGCAGACGGCUCGAGAAAAAGCAACCGCAGAAUCACUGAGAAUAACAGCAUGAACAAAAGUAACUGCAAUGUAGCUGGCAACAGUGAGAGCAGCACAGAAGAGGUCUCUGAGGCAAAUGACACAGAUCCAGCAGCACUAUUGGGCAUGGAACCUUAUCUUGUUCGAAGACUUUCCUUUCGGGCUCUACAGCUUCCACCAUUAGCCUUCAGACUGGCUGAACAAUUUGACUGGGAAAAAAACUCAGACACAGAGCACAUACCAAGGCCAACUACGCUUGCUCUGAAAGCUCCCCCUCUAAUUGCCAUCA